UACGUAGGUGGCAAGCGUUGUCCGGAUUUACUGGGCGUAAAGAGCGCGCAGGCGGUCGUGCAAGUCGCGUGUGAAAGCCCCCGGCUCAACUGGGGAGGGUCACGCGAUACUGCUCGACUUGAAGGCAGGAGAGGGAAGUGGAAUUCCCGGUGUAGUGGUGAAAUGCGUAGAUAUCGGGAGGAACACCAGUGGCGAAGGCGGCUUUCUGGACCGACACUGACGCUGAGGCGCGAAAGCUAGGGGAGCAAACGGG
This 253-nucleotide ribosomal RNA is filed under the name uncultured bacterium. RNAcentral describes it as "partial 16S ribosomal RNA". It matches the Rfam family "Bacterial small subunit ribosomal RNA", at positions 524 to 776 of the family's 1533-position model. The record is from RNAcentral.